This 1398-nucleotide unclassified non-coding RNA is filed under the name Hevea brasiliensis (rubber tree). Lineage: Eukaryota; Viridiplantae; Streptophyta; Magnoliopsida; Malpighiales; Euphorbiaceae. The record is from RNAcentral.
UGUGUGUGUGUGUGUGUGUGAAAACUCACUUGAAAAUCAGUGAGAAACUGAGAAUCAUCGUUUUCUUCAUGGAAUCAGAGAAGAAUUAAAACACCUGCCCUGAAAUCUCAAGAAAAUUGGCCCUGUUCUUCAAAAAAACCCCAGCUGCCAUUCUGGAUCACCCAUCCGGGUAAAUUUCUUGGAACACUGCCCCUCCCAUUUGGAAGCCCAGCUGCUGACAACGACAAGCCUACGGCUGAAAUCCGGUACUGGAUGAGGCAUGUCUGACCUUCACGCACCAUUCGUGUGUUAUUGUUUUGAUCCCACGUGCUGGCGCACAUGGCGUUUUCCAACACCAUCCGGAAGCCUUCCUUCUCCAGUGUUGCCUUGGUGUGUUGGGUGCAGUUAAAGGUCUGUCAUGGGUUUCAAAGAAUCUUUUUCUUUGAUUUGUGUUUCAAGGCAUUCAGGUCUCCUUUUUCAGAUUCUCUCUUGGGAUACCUUUUUGAUUUGGGUUCCAAGGCACUUUGGGUCUCCCGUUUCAGAGAUUUUUUUGUUGCUUUCAGUGAAUGAGAGCAUCUUUUUCCUAGGCUAUUUGAGGACUGGUUUGAUUUUCUGAUAUUUUUCUUGAAGAAAUUAUGGCUGAAGACAAGGGUGAAACUAAAUCUAUUCUUUCAUAUGUAAUUCUAGUGAUGACUAAAAACAUUGAACACAAGCUAAAUGGCUCAAAUUACUUAGAGUGGAGUAAAACGGUUCGGAUUUACUUGCGAAGCAUUGAUAAGGAUGACCAUCUCACAAGUGAUCCACCAAAUGAUGAUACAAAGCAAGCUUGGCUACGACAAGAUGCUUAUUUGUUUUCACAACUUCGAAACUCGAUUCACAGCUAGGUACUUAGUCUAAUUAAUCAUUGUGAGUUUGUUAAAAAAUUGAUGAAAUAUCUGGAGUUUUUAUAUUCUGAAUAAGGCAAUAUUUCUUGCAUAUAUAAUAUUUGUAAGGGCCUUUUAUAAAGGCCUCUAACUUGUUAGAUAUCAAGAAUGCUUUACUCAAUAAUGAUCUGCAGGAGGGGGUGUAUAUGGAGCAACCAUCUAGUUUUGUUGCUCAAAGGAGUUGGGGAAAGUUUGCAAGCUUUGAAAAUCCUUUUAUGGCCUGAAACAAAGUCCUCAGUCUUGAUUUAGGAGAUUUAGUGAUGUGGUAGAGAAGUUUGAUAUCCAAAAAAGUAAGUGUAAUCUUUCGGUAUUUUAUAGGCAGUCUGAAGCUAGUCUAAUUUUACUGAUAGUUUAUGUGAAUGACAUUAUUAUCAUUGGAAGUAACUCCACAGGCAUUCCAUCCCUUAAAUCCUUCAUCCAAACCAAGUUUCAAACAAAAGACUUGGUCUAUUAAAAUCUUUCUUGGGCAUUUAAGUUAUAAGAAGUAAGAAAGGUA